Molecule: ribosomal RNA, 234 nt
Filed under: uncultured bacterium
Lineage: Bacteria
Description: partial 16S ribosomal RNA
Rfam family: Bacterial small subunit ribosomal RNA
Source: RNAcentral
GAUCAUGGCUCAGGACGAACGCUGGCGGCGCGCCUAACACAUGCAAGUCGAACGAGCGAGAGAGAGCUUGCUUUCUUGAGCGAGUGGCGAACGGGUGAGUAACGCGUGAGGAACCUGCCUCAAAGAGGGGGACAACAGUUGGAAACGACUGCUAAUACCGCAUAAGCCCACGACCCGGCAUCGGGUAGAGGGAAAAGGAGCAAUCCGCUUUGAGAUGGCCUCGCGUCCGAUAGU